Molecule: ribosomal RNA, 484 nt
Filed under: uncultured bacterium
Lineage: Bacteria
Description: partial 16S ribosomal RNA
Rfam family: Bacterial small subunit ribosomal RNA
Source: RNAcentral
GAUGAACGCUGGCGGCGUGCUUAACACAUGCAAGUCGAACGGAAAGACGAGGAGAUUGCUGGUCGCACGUGAGGGGCGGGGGGGUGAGACACACGAGCAUACCCUACCUAUAGGACUGAGAUAACUACGGGAAAGCGGAUACAACAUAGGAUAUGAUAUUGAACCCUGGGGGCCAUUGGGCAUAGCGGGUUUUGCGGGACCUAUGCCGGAUUAGCUAGCUGGUUGGGUAAGGGCUUACCAAGCCGACGAUGUGUAGCUGGCCUGAGAGGACGACCGGCCACACUGGAACUGAGACACGGCCCAGACUCCUACGGGAGGCAGCAGUAGGGAAUGUUCGGCAAUGGGCGAAAGCCUGACGCAGCAACGCCGCGUGAGUGACGAAGGCCUUCGGGUCGUAAAACGCUGUUGUGCGGGAAGAACAGAUUUGGACUUAAACAUGGCGGUCAUGACGGUACCGAAUCAAUAAGCAACGGCUAACUACGUG